RNAcentral lists this ribosomal RNA (274 nucleotides) under uncultured bacterium. Its description in RNAcentral is "partial 16S ribosomal RNA". It matches the Rfam family "Bacterial small subunit ribosomal RNA", at positions 523 to 796 of the family's 1533-position model. The record is from RNAcentral.
AUACGUAGGGGGCAAGCGUUGUCCGGAUUUACUGGGUAUAAAGGGAGCGCAGGCGGAUUCGUAAGUCAGGGGUGAAAUCCUACAGCUUAACUGUAGAACUGCCUUUGAUACUGCGAGUCUCGAGAUCGGAAGAGAGAGAUGGAAUUCCAGGUGUAGUGGUGAAAUACGUAGAUAUCUGGAAGAACACCAAUGGCGAAGGCAGUCUCUUGGUCCGUAUCUGACGCUGAGGCUCGAAAGCGUGGGGAGCAAACAGGAUUAGAAACCCCGGUAGUCC